AGAAACUUUAAAAAGAGGGCGCUUGCUCUGACCUUGUUUGAGGGUGAGAGAUGCAUAAACACGCAGGAGAGAGUGAGCGAGUGGAGUCCGGUUCUUCAAAGCAACUGUAAACUUCCCUCACCACAACGUAAGGCCCGCCUCUCCCCUCAUUCGAUUGGACAAUGGAAGACGCGAAUGACGUCAGGCGCUUUCUCCGCUCUCAGCGCUCCUUCAAAAACGCGUGCGCGACAGGCGGCAGAAAACCGCAAGGCGCUCGGCGCGCAUAAACAGCGCGCAAACGCGCCCUGCCCAUAGAAUAUCAUUCAAAAAAGGCGCCUGCAACUGCCAUAAACGCUUUUGGUGUGACUGAGCCCUUAGAGAAGAAAAUGGACAUCAGACAUUUAGUGAAGAAAGCUGACAGUCAACAUAAUGAUGAGAGCUGUGUUAUACAAUGUUAAGGAUACUCGUUCAUCUUCUGCUGUGUGAAUUCUGCUGUGUCAGUCCUGUGGGACUUGAUGCCGGCUGGUACCAGUGUGACGUCUUUGCUUACUAAAUGAUCAAAGGGUGUCUGAAAUCAGCUCAGCCACAGUUGGUUUCCAGCGGUUCUUCAGGACAUGGAGGCCACUACGUAACUGUUGCAAUGAACGAUUAUUUUGCCUUUCCACCUGAUGUUGACAAUCUGACCUGUGCGGUACUGAAAACAACUUACACUGAAAUAUAUCUUAAAAUAUAUCAGUGCCCUUUGUUUUGCCUCAAAAUGCACACCAGUAAUGUUUUUUGUUGAAACCAGUUAUAUUUCCUAAUUAAACUAAGGCCUAGUCCUGGAUUAAGCUAAUCCCCUGUCCGGGAAACCGCCCCUAAAUGUUUUGUGACGGAAAUUUCUUUGAAUACACUUGUCAAGUUCAUUUUAAGUAUUUUUCUAAAUGUAAGAUAACAUGUUAAUGUUUCAGGACAAGUUAAAAUUUUUUGAUAACUUGCAUUGUUGAAAACGAUUUCAGACAUUGUUCUAUUCAACAUGUUUAACACAGUUGCUUUUAAAUUCAGUGUUUUAAAACGUAUCAAUGUAAUGUAUGUUUGAAGUAAUUAUACUUGCACUUACAUUUAUUUAAAUUAGCAUACAUCUAGCAACAUAAAGUAGGCUACUAGCAUAUUUUCAUGCAAGCAUUAAUUGUCAAAUAUUUGUUAUUUUACAAAU
Misgurnus anguillicaudatus (oriental weatherfish) is the source of this 1174-nucleotide non-coding RNA. The record is from RefSeq and is a predicted model, not a curated record. NCBI's taxonomy places the organism in Eukaryota, Metazoa, Chordata, Actinopteri, Cypriniformes, Cobitidae.